RNAcentral lists this long non-coding RNA (21307 nucleotides) under Citrus x clementina. RNAcentral's name for it is "Citrus clementina (C. clementina) long non-coding RNA (CCLE_LNC004571)". The record is from RNAcentral. Lineage: Eukaryota; Viridiplantae; Streptophyta; Magnoliopsida; Sapindales; Rutaceae.
CUCUCACUUACUUACCACUAACUCACUGCUACACCACACACUACUCUUCAACACUCUUCUUCACUUCUACUCGCUCGCUGACUCACCUCAAAAAGCUUUCUUGCUCUACAAACAACUUUAACAAAUUUACGGGCACUCUCACUCUCCAUUGCGCCCUCUCUUUGACAGCUUCACUUACUCUUUCCUUAUAAGGACCUGCGUUACUUUAAGCUAUCCUAACUUAGGUACCCAGCUUCAUGCUGUUAUUUCAAAAGUGGGCUUUCAAUCUCAUGUUUAUGUAAACACCGCCUUAGUUAAUAUGUUUGUCUCUUUAGGGUUUUUGAAGGACGGUUCCAAACUGUUCGAUGAAUUGCCGGAAAGAAAUUUGGUUACGUGGAAUGUUAUGAUCACUGGUUUAGUGAAAUGGGGUGAGCUAGAAUAUGCGCGUUCUCUCUUUGAAGAGAUGCCUUGCAGGAAUGUUGUGUCGUGGACAGGGAUUAUAGAUGGUUACACCAGGAUGAAUCGGUCUAAUGGGGCGUUAGCUUUAUUUCGGAGAAUGGUUGCGUGCGAAUAUACAGAACCUAGUGAGAUAACUAUUUUGGCUGUUUUUCCGGCUAUUUGGCAAAAUGGGGAUGUUAGGAAUUGUCAAUUGAUUCAUGGGUAUGGUGAGAAGAGGGGGUUUAAUGCAUUUCAUAUACAUGUCUCAAAUUGUUUGAUCGAUACUUAUGCAAAAUGUGGGUGCAUAUUUAGUGCCUUAAAACUCUUUGAGGAUAUAUCGGUUGAGAGGAAAAAUUUGGUGUCUUGGACAUCGAUAAUAUCUGGGUUUGCAAUGCACGGGAUGGGGAAAGAAGCAGUAGAAAAUUUUGAGAGGAUGCAGAAAGUUGUUUUGAAACCAAACAGAGUAACAUUCUUGAGUGUUUUGAAUGCUUGUAGUCAUGGAGGAUUGGUCGAGGAGGGGCUCAAGUUUUUUGAUAAGAUGGUUGAGGAGUGUGAAGUUCUGCCAGAUAUAAAGCAUUAUGGGUGUUUAAUAGACAUGUUGGGAAGGGCUGGGAGGUUAGAACAAGCGGAGAAGGUUGCUUCGGGGAUACCGAGUGAGAUUACUAAUGUUGUUGUUUGGAGGACCCUUUUGGGUGCUUGUAGCUUUCACGGUAAUGUGGAGAUGGGUGAGAGGGUGACAAGGAAGAUAUUGGAAAUGGAGAGAGGAUAUGGAGGGGACUAUGUGCUUAUGUAUAACAUCCUUGCUGGGGUCUGGCGGUAUGGAGAUGCCGAGAGGUUGAGGAGAGUCGUGGAUGAGAGGAAUGCCCUCAAAUUUCCUGGCCGUAGUUUGGUCUAGUUAAUGCUGAAGUUGAAUGGUAGCGAUCUGGAUAGAUGGUCCCUUAUUCCUUUACUUAUAUAAAGUUUGUAAAACAAUUUAUCACUGAGCUGAGAUUGCUUUCCUUUUCAAGACCUACAUCGGCAAGGCACCUGAGACGUUGCUAUUGCCAAAGUUCUUUCAGCUUGUGAAAAGCAGCCUCUUUUUUAACUUCAUUGAAGAAGGUAGGCCAUUCCCGUUCUGUACAUUUAGUUUUUGUUUCCUAUUUAACAUUCGGUUCAAACAGCAAAAGAGAGUUGAUCCUUUUGUUUUUUUAUUCAUUUUAUGAUUCUGACAGAGUUGCAAAGUUUUUCAUGUAGCACCCAUUCUGAUGGAGUUACAAUGUUUUUUGUCCUCUUUAUUGUUCAGAUGGAUCGAUUUUUGGUAAAAUUAAUAAACUGUUCUUAUUUUUUCUUUGGCUUUUGCUCUUUUAGCUUUGUUGAAAACGGCAAAGAGAAAUGAUUCAUAGGCUAGCUCUUCAGUUUGUCCGAGCUAGGAUUUCCGAAUUCAAAAGCCAAUACAUAUUUAUUUGCUUUUUAUCAUUGUUUAUCUUAUUUUAUUUUAGUGUUUUGGUAUGUUUGAUUUUCAAUGUGAAAGUCAAUAGCUUACUAGUUAGUUACUACCAAGAAUUUAGGUCCCCGUAGUGGAGGCGUUUCAAAGUUCAAAGCAUUUUGCAUAUUUUAAUUUGACUCCUUUUUCAUACUUUAUCAUUCAACUAGAUAAAUUUACAGAUAGAAUUUUCCAACUGCGAAGAACAGCUAAGUCAUUCCUUUUUGGUUCAUUUCUGGCGGGUAAAGGACUUUUCCAAGUUUCAAAGAUGAAUAAUGAAAAAAAAUUCUUUUACCAGCUAUGUCGACCUUAAAAUAUAGGCCAUGAAAGAUUGACAAGCUCAGAAAACACCAGGACCAAAACCUCAACCUAUUCCUAGAAGCUGAGAAUUUGAAGAAAUGGAGAAAUCUUGGAGAGCUUAGGCAGCUUCCGAGAAGCCAAUGACUGAAAAAUAUUUCGCUGCACUCAGGACGGCCAGGACUAUUAGGUCUCAGCUGAAGAAAGGCGCUGCACCAAUGCAACAAAUAAGCACCUCACUCUCUCAGGCUGCAGAGAAGGAACCCCAAUUUACAGGACCCCCUUUUCUGUUACUAAUGGCUUGGGGGGGGGGGGGAAUCAAAGAAGCUUCCGAUGGAGUUCCAAGGACUGAGGCAGAAAAUGAUGACCAUGUAUAUCUGUUGAGAAAAGGUAAUUUAAUGUGACAGGAGAGAUCUCAAACAAGGAUACAAUUGAGAAAACCAUCUGUUGUGGUGGAGAUUCUGGAUAGGCGUGACACGGACAUAGAGAUUAAGAAAAGAUUGUUGGAGCUGUAUCAAAUUUUCUUGGACAUGACUGUAAAGGUGGACGUCAAGACUUUGAAGCACAACUGGAGAAGCAGCAGCAGCAAGUAGUUUGCUUGGGGAACAUACUUCUGGUGUUGAUCAUUCUUUUGAUGGUUAUCAGUUUUUGAAUUGUAUCGGAAACGAUGCCCAAUCAUACUUUGUAGUUUUCUCUGCUUUGAAAGUCCUUGUAUUAGGACUGGGUUGUGACUAUUCUUCGUCCUUGUAUCUUUUCUCCAAUUCAUUUGAAAUACAUUGUCCUGAUUAUAUAGUCUAAGGAUGAAAAUCUUCUGGGAACCAUAUUGAAUGAGUAAUAAAUUUAGCAUUCAAGUGAUAAUGAACGAAAGAAACAAUGAAUGAAGACUAUGUUGACCGGGAAUGUAAAUGCAGAAAAAUAGCAGAUCUGCUAUUGAAAAAAAUGAUAUCACAUGAGGUCACUCCUUAGAACUUUGAAUAGAGACGAGAAGAGAGAGCUCUGAGAAAGAUUGAUAAAGUAAGCUCCAUUGGACGGAUUGUUAAUUUUCUUCUGUACAUGAAAAGUGUCAACAUUAAUUGCUUUAUGCAUUGCAGAUGACACCAUCUAGCAUCUAAUACCGAAUCCCCAAUAUUACGGCAAAGCCACAAAGAAGCAAAAGUGCACCAUUUCCUCCAGGCAGGAUAGAUGACCUGCAGAAUCCAAACAUGCAAUCGGUUAUAAUCAAGAAAAGAUAGACAUGGAGAAACUACGACCAUUCAAUCAAGUUUGCAUAUAUAUAUAUAUAUAUAUAUAUAUAUAUAUAUAUAUGGUAAUGUUAUUAUUUAAUAUUAUUUACAUACAAUGUUAUUGAUAUAUAAUAUUAUUUGCAUAUAAAUAAUUAAAACUUCAAGAGUAGUAAUGUUUAAUAUUUUGGACUCACUGUGUGUACGUAUAAAAAAUUAUUUGUUAGAUUAUUAAUAAUUCGUUUAUUUUUUAUGUUGGGUUUGUAUCUCAAUAUUUUAACAUGAUUAUUAAUUGAGUCAUAUUUGCAUUAACGUAAAUUUAAUAACAUGACACGGUGACCUAUUACUUUAUUUCUACCUUUUUUUUAUUUUAAGAUACUAUUUUAAAAAUAAAACUAUAAACAUAUUUUUAAAUUUACCAAAAAUCAAUUAUUUCUUACUAUAAAACAUACAAAAUUAACAUAAUUUGAUAAUAAUGAUUGAUUAAUAAGGAUUGAGUCAAUCAAUUUUUGUGUUGAUUUACAAUCAAUAUUUUUUAGUUAAUAUUUAAAAUAGAUACAAUCGAUGAUUUGAUUGAUUGUAUUGACUGAUUGAUUGUUUUUCGCUGUACAAACUUAACUUCUCAAUAUAUAUAUAUAUAUAUAUAUAUUUUUAACACUUAAAUCAAAUUUAGAUCCCUAUGUAAUUUCGGAGGGUAUUGGGAGAGCCGGAGAGGGCUGUACAACUUAAAAUGUCCAUCGUUUCUACACUUAAUUGGCAAGGAUAGAAACCAUUCAAAGAUUGAGGUGUCUUCUUAUCAUGAAUCUGUUGACAAGUGCGGCAGCGUUUGACGAAGAACACGCAGGACUCCUCGUGCUUUCUACCUAUUUAUCAAAUGUUUAAUGAAUGAUUAAUGCUCGAAAGACAUCGAGGCCCUACCACAGUGUCGAUGCCACCACUGUGUCACGGGGUGAUAGUUUUGCGUAGCAAGUUCCCGUGCGGCACUUGAGCGACCUUAGCGUGUGAGUCGCCAAGUAAGUCUAGAUUACUCCCUAAACAAGCCAAACACGCAUACUUGGAGAAAAUGUUAAGGGAAGUAAGAGUGGAAUGGCCAAAGAUGAUUGUAUUGCAUUUUGAAUAAUUACAAGAGUGUUUGUACAAGAGAGCUUGAGAGCUAGUGUGCUAGGUGUGUUGUGUGGGUGUGUUGGUGGUUGUGACAAUGAGGGUUGCUCACCCAUAUUUAUAGGGGGUGGAAUGCCUAAUUCUAGAGAAUUCUAUUACAAGUGGCAAAACACUAAGGGACCCAAGUGGUGAGUCCUAGAAAGUUCUAGUGAAUGGAUAAUAUGUAGAGAGUUCAAGACCUUUGGGCCUUGGUGGACUUUGGGCCUUGGUGGAGGUUUUACUAAGUGCACCCCAGCUAGUUAGUUGUCUUGGUGGCUCAAUUUCUAAGUUAACCCCCACAUCUAAGUGUAUCCGCUUGAGUGCCAAGCGAGCCCGUGACGACUGGCUUUUAACAUUGCUCCAUCUUUCAUUUUCACGUUUACUUUUCAAAAGAGGAAAGCAGAUUAAAUUCAAGGAAACUUGGCCAAAGACAUUAGAUCAAACGAUUUGAAUCCUCCCCCGACUUAAUUUUUCCAAAGAGAUUUUGACACAUGACAUUUAAGAAAUUUUAAGGUCAGAAUUUAAUUUAUUUACAAUUUUCCUUAUUUGACACAACAAAAAAUGAUAUUUUUAAGACUGAUAGAAAUUGCAAACUAACAGAAAUUAAUUUCAUGUCAGUGUCUUCUUUCUCCUCUUUCAUUCAUGCAAUAAUCUUAAAAAAGAAUAAUAAAAAAAGGUUUUAGAAAAAAACUAGGAUAAUUUUUAUCUCUUUCUUUAGUGAUUUUUUUUUUCUUUUUACAAUCAUCUUGGUAUCUUAAAUAAAUUAGAGUGAAAUCAAAUUUUAAAUUAUCUCUCUCCUCGUUUUUUUAUAAAUAAACUUUGAGAAUUAGAAAACUAGAACAGAGAUGCAAAGAUUUCAAUUCAAAAUGGUUAUAUUAUAUCUGUUUCUUUGAUCUUAAAGGUACGGAGGCCAAACAAAGAAUGGAAAAGGGAGAAGCAGUUUAAUUUUUUUUUUUAAAAAGAAUAAGAAUAAUAAUCUAAUGCUGGCAUUAGAUAAUUUAAAAAAAUUCCAUAUGCCUGAAGACGAAGUACAAUUUUUAUGCAAGUUUGAGAAGCGACAAAUUAAGAAGCCGAAAAAGAAGUUUAAACUUCUGUUAGUGUUCAAUUUCAAUUAACCUAAAAAUGUUAGAUUUUGGUGUUUAAAUAGGAAAAUUGUAAACAAUAUAAUCUUAGCCUUAUGAUUUUUUAAAUGCUAGGUGUUCAAAUCUUUUAUAAAGAUUAGGAAUAAUUAGAUUAGGAGAGAAUUUAAAUCCUAGAUCAAAAGAUGUAAUUUUUUUUUUUAAACUAAAGGGGAGCAUAUAAACUUAUGAUAGUCAGUCAUUCAUACGUUUUGCAAAUCAAUUAUGAUUGUCUCUCAAUUCUUUUAAGUUUUUAAAGAAAUAAUAUUAGAUAAUCUAAUAUCUAAAUCUCAAUUUAAAUCCUCACUAAUGUAACAUUUAUUUAUUAGAUGGUAAUUAAAUAAUUUUAUAACUCAUGAAAUUUAUUAUAUUAGGACUCAAGUAUUAAAAUUCAUUUUAAAGAUCUUGUGUUAUUUAUCUUUUAAUGUUAGUAUAUAAUUAAGAUUUAACUAUUUAUACUUUUUUGAUGACCGCCAAUCAAAUAGACUUUACUGAGGAGUAAAUCAUGAGAAAUUGAGCCCCCACUGUAGGACUUGAAAUUCUCGCCCUAGAGCCUGAGUUCGCCACUGAUGCCAUUAAGCCCUGUGACACAUAUUAUUAUCUAAGUUUUGAAAAAAUAAUGCACGUACAAAAUUAGAGAUAUGAAUUAAUUGUUUUCAAAUUUUCUAGUCUUUUGUCUCUAUUUUUGCCCUCCAUAUUUUACACGUCCGUAUCAUUCAUUAAUCCCAAGUUUAUAUGUUCAAAAUCUUGUAUAGUCUAAUUGUUAUUACUUUUCAAUACUUAUUUUACAUUUUGUAAAAACAGAUAAUAAAAGAAGGAGCUGGCUAAGUUACAGAUUCUGUAACAUACAGAUCCAACUUAGCCAGCUCCUGAUUGGUUAGCUAGCUACCAAACAAAAACAAUUGCAUGCUUUUUCUCCAUACGCAGCACAGGUGUGGUGCAUGCAUUGGGUGCGUAUGUUACAGAAUCUGUAAGGUAGACAGGUCCAUAAAAGAAACGUGUUUGGUCGUCGUCGGCAAUACGGCAUCAUACAAAUGGUGUUCACUUUAUAUCUCACUGUGCACGAGACCCACCAAUCAUUUCACAACAUUUAUUGGUUGCUGACAAUGUAUCCCGUACCUUUGGUUGUUGCGAGUUCGCCUAUUCAAAUACUAUGUACCACUCAGUCUUUACAUUUUUUUUAUAAUAUUCAAUAAUUUUUUUAUAUUAUAAUUUUAUAAUAUUAUUCUUAUUUUUAAAUAUAUUUUUAUUUAUAUUUAUUAUAAAAUUUAUUAAUUACAUAAAUAAAAAUUUAAAUUUAAAUUUAAAUCGUAAAAAUAACAUAAUAUUAAUAAUCAAUUUUUUUUUGUAUUUUUUGUUGUUUUUAUAAACUUUUUUUCUCAUGAUAAAUGUUUAUUUUAUAUUCCUAACAAUCUAAUAUCAAAUAAGUGCCUGUUUGGUAUGGUUUAUUUAAGAGUCAUAAAUGGUGCUUAUUUAAUCGUAUAAGCACUUUUUAAAAUUUUUGUAUUGGGGGAGUUGUUAAAUAUUAUUAAAACAAUAAAAAAUCAAGUAGUAUAUAUUUAUUUGAGUAGAGAGACCCUAUCAAUCUUCAUUUUAUGUGCAAAUAAUAUAAUGUAUAAAAAUGAUUCCUGGGGCUAUAUUUUUUUAUUAAAAUUAUAUAAGUACAACUGUUUUUCGCCUUUACAUUAUCUUUUAUAUUUCUACCUUUUUUUUUUUAUUUUCAGAUACUCCUUUAAAAAUAAAACUACUAAACAUAUUUCUGAAUUGACCAGAAAUUAAUUACUUCUUGGCAAUAAAACAAACACUAAAAACACCAUUCUAAAAAACAAUAGAAAAGGCAUCCGAAUUUUUGAGUGAAUCUUCACGUUGACUUGAGUCGUCUCUUAGACUUGGAUGAACCAUGAUGUACGAUUGAAUGAUGUCAAUCACUUUAUUAAAGUCUAGCAAACACUUUGUACCAAAACCUCAACCACUGGUCAAAGUUGUAAUUGGGCAAGUAAACAUUGACUAUUGAUAGAAACCAUUUAGUUGUUGGAUUAUUUUCAGUAUCCAAAGAGAUGAUAUCGUGGCUAGCUACCAAGUUCCAGUGAUACUUUAAGCUCUAAAGGCAUAAAUUUUUAUCAAGCAUUACUGAAAUACUAAAGAUGCCAUUUUGACAGGGUUAACAAAAAAACUGUACCAAAUUGCUUACCCUGCAGGAAAAAUUACAGGAAAAUUCAUUGGAAAAGGGAAUGCAGAUUCAAGAAGGAUCAGUACUUCACAUUAACUUUGAUCAUCAUAUUUCAACGAUCAUAGAUAAGCUGUAGUUUUGUUAUUCAGCUUUGCUCCCUUUUUUCCGACCAGCUCUUUGCAAUUUUACUUGAUCAAAAAUCCCAAUUCUCAUUUCAAUCUUCUGUUAAUCUUCUUAAUCUCAAGAUGAAAGUCGAGGAGUUGAAGGGUGAAAUUAAGCGAGAGAAUUCAGCACCGGGUUGAUGAAUGAUGAGGCUAAAACAGACACCGUGUGCCCUUUACCAAUGCAUGCAUCUUUUGUUUCUUGAGCAUGUGUGAUAGCUUCGUCCUUGUGAAAAAUUGAAAAUUGAUUAAAUAAUAACCACCCAGAUAAAAUGUAAGUAGGAAAGAAAGAAAGUAAUAAAAUAGAAUAACUUCUUCUGGAAGUCCAAACUUUUUGUUAAGAUUCAAAUCAUGAAUUAUAAUUUAUUGACAACGCUAUUUUAUAGCAUUUUGUUGUGUUAGGUUCUAAUUAAAUUUACUGAUCAACCAUGUCUUUAAAAAAAUAAAUCAAUCUUUGCUUAACCCCUGCUUUCUUUACUGUUUGUACUGCUGUCGUAAGUUCGUAAACAGCUCUUAACAAACUCUUCAAGAAACUUUUAAAAAUAAGAUAAAGAAUAUAAAUUUCAUUUUUAUUAAUUCAUAAGCCCGAAGGCUCAUACAAGUACUCGAAACAUGAAAAAAAAAAAUGAUACAAUUAACGUAGUUUAGGAAUAAUGAUUGGUUGAUAAAAAUUGAGUCAAUCAAUAUUGAUAUCGAUUUUAGUCAAUCUUUCUUAAUUAAUAAUUUAUAUUGAUUGCUUUGUUUCCAUCAAUGUUGUGUGAUUCUAAUCUAUCCUCCCCCAAGAUGUCAUAAACAUUUUUUGAACUCUUAGCUUGCUUUGAAAAUUGUAAAUUCUUGAUUUUUAUUUACAGUUCUCAUCCUAAUGUCAUGCAACAAAUCAUGAAGCAUUCCUUUAAAGCUUGAUUAGGAAAUUUUCUAAUUGAUUUCAUGUGCACAUUUCUUUUAAGAUCGUAAAAAUCAUAAGCAAUAGAUUCCUUUGAUCAAGAAAUUCUUUCAGUAUGAAAGUUGUUCCUUUGAUUUUUUUUUUCAAAGAAAUCUUCACUCCUUUGAUCUUACCAUAGAAUUCUUUCAUUUACAAAGCUAUUCCAUUAAUCUUGUCAAGGAAAAUAUCAAUAUCAAUAAUUCCUUUUCGUUCUCUUUUUCUUUUGGUAUCAUUUCCUUUGUGGUGGCUGAAGUGGUGGUUGAUGGUCCGGCGGUUGUUGUUGUUGUUAUUAUUAUUAUUAUUAUUAUGGUGAAGAAAUUGUAGAACAACUAGAACGGUAUUCACAUUUCUCUGCUCUAAACCACCAUGAUCAAGAAACUCAUCAUUAAUAUUGUGGGGAAGCCUAAAUCCAUGAACUUUAGGACUCUGAAACUCGUAUCGACAUCAUGAAAAUUUUAAAAAAUAAUGUAAAGAACAUAAAAUUUACUUUUAUUAAUUUAUAACCACAAAGGCUCGCUCCUCAAUUUAUACAAGAAUUUGAAAUAUGAAAAAUAAAAACAAUACAACUAACAUAAUUUAAAAAUAAUGAUUGAUUUGUAAGAUUGAAUGAAUUAAUCUUUAUGUUGAUUUACAAUUAAUUUUUUGUAAUCAAUAAUUAAGAUGGAGAAAAUCAUUCAUUUGAUUGAUUUUAUUAAUUAUUUUGUUUUCAUCAAUAUCAUUUGGUUCUUAUUAGUCUCAUGGUAGGUACAAUUGAAGUUGUUUUUAUUACACAAACUUAACUUUAUAUUUUUUUUUCAACACUUAAAUCAAAUUUAGAUUUCUAAGUAAUUUCGGAGGAUAUUGGGAGAGGGCUAUAGAACUUAACUUAAAUAUCUAAAUUUUCUAUAUUUGUUUGGCAAAGAUACAAACCAUCCAUAGCUUUUGAGGUCCUCUAAUCAUGAAUCUGUUGAAAACAGUGGCAACGUUUGGGCAAGUAAAAUGCAGGCAGUAGCAGCUCGACCUUUAGGCAACUUAGGCGGUUGCCUAAGGCCUCGUUUUACAUAAAAGCCCCACGAGAUGAUUAUUUUAUAUAUUAAAGGAGAAAAUGAAUUUAAAAGUCAUUAUUAUUCAUUUGCUUUAUUAUUAUUUUGUAAUUAUCGUUUCCUAAAUAAACUAUUAAAUUUCUAUAAAGUUUAUUUAAUAUAGUACUUAAUAGUUUUAAUUUCUACAAAAAUGAUAAAUUAAUAGUUUCAAUCUUACAAAUUCUCUAUUUCAUUGUUAGAAUUAAUAUGUUAUAUUUCAAAAGUUAGCAGUUUUAAUUUCUACAAAACCGAUAAAUUAAUAGUUUCAAUCCUACAAAUUCUCUAUUUCAUUGUUAGAAUUAAUAUGUUAUAUUUCAAAAGUUUUAUAUUCAUUUUAAACCUCUAUAAAAGCCUCACAUUUUAUUACUUAUCCAUUAAAUUUUUCCUCCAACAAUCAAGACAUAAUAUGUUCUUGGUGUUUGAGAGAAAGAAAGAGAGAGAGAGGGAAAAAAAAUCCUACUACCUCUACUUUUCACCCAAGAAUAAAAAAAAAAAUCUAAUAGUUCUUUCUAUUCUUUAUGGCUAUUGAUCAUUACUCAAAUCUUCAAACAAUUAAUAUAAACAUAAGUUAAUUUAUGAUUUCAUCUCAAAUUUCAGAUUUUAUCUUUUUAUUAUUCUCCUAAUUAAUUGUGUUAUUUAUUUGUUCUUAUUUUUUAAAUAUAUUCUUUUAUUCAUCUAAUUUUUUGUGUGUGCUUGUUUUAUCUAUUUUGAAAUAAAACUAUAUCAAAAAACUUUAGAGAAUAGAAAAAUAGAAAAAUUAGUUUAAUUUAGAAAAGCAGUUGUAAAAAAAAGAUAUAAUUUGAGUUUAAAAAAUAAUAAGUGAAAAUGUUAUAAUUAAAUUAAAAUUUCAUGGAUUAACAACAGUAAAAUAAAAUAUUAUUAAUAAUUUUAUAUUUUAGAGUGUUUAAAGAAUUAAUUUUUAAUAAAUAAUAAAUAACAUAUAACUUUUAUAUAUAUAUAUAUAUAUAUUAUUAAAUUUUAAAAAGAACUAAUUAAAAUUAUUUGCAUAAUACUUCAAAUAUGACUGAACCGCCCUACAUGCAGGAAUGUUCGUGCUCGGCAAAUGCGAGAGGUGCGGCUACCUAUCAAAUAUUUGAAAUUUGAUGAUUUAAGGUCCCACAACAAUGUCGGUGCCCCGACGGGAUUUAACAGCGUUGGUGCUAUCUUUCAUUUUCAAUUUUUUUUUUCUUUUAAAGGAAAAGGAUUGGGUUUUUGUUAAAAAAAUAAUUAUUAUUAUGAUAAGAGAGUAAUUAAUUAAAAAAUUUGAUGAUAUUUAUUUUAUGUAUAAAUAAUAUAAUAUAUAAUAAUUAUUACUGGGAUUAUAUUUUUUUUAUUAAAGAAUAAAUAAUUAAAAUUAUUCUAAAAAUAAAACAAUUAAACAUAUUUCUAAGUUUACCAAAAAUUAAUUAUUUCUUUACUAUAAAACAAACACGAAAACACCAUUUUAAAAAACAACAGAAAAAAGGCAUCCGAAAUUUGUGAGGGAAUCUUGACGUUGACCUCAGUCGUCUCUUAGACUUUUGGAUGAAACAUGAUGUAUGAUUGAAUGAUCUCAGUCUUCAUCAUCUCAAGUUCUCUGAAGCCACCAUCUCAGGUUACCCUUGUCUUGUUUUCGGCUUUUUGAUCUCAAGGGCACCUUAAUAGUCCAUCCCGUGAGUCGCAACUGUUGUUUGAAAUUUGCGUUUCUGUCCAUCCUUAAUUUCUUCCUCCCAGAUCACAUCUUAUUUUGCCAUCUGAUUCUAUCCACCCUUUUCAUUGUUGUCGUUGGUGUUUUGUAUUUCAUCUUCAUGUCCCUUUCCCUCUCUCAUUUCUCUGUACCGUAUCCACUUAUCAUUGUAGUUUCCCGCUGAUUUUCUCCACUCUCUUUGUUCAUAUUGGAUAAAAUACCUCCACUUAUAUUCAACUUUUGAUCUCACAACCACUUUGCUUUUGUUGCUGUUAGCUGUUUUGACCUGGUGUUCUGUUCUGUACAUUUGCUACUCUGUUUUAUUUCCCUUUGGUUUCCUUUGCAUCCGUUUCUCAAAACUUUAAAAGGAAAAAAAAAGUUGAAAAUGGUUGAUGCUGUUGUUACCGUUGCUUUGGAAGUUGCCAAGUGCUUGUUCCCUCCGAUCGGGCGCCAGUUAAGUUAUGUGCGUAAGUACAAAGCCAACCUUGAGAAUCUCAACAAAGAAACUGAGAAGUUGACCGAUGCAAGAGAUAGUAUCCAGAAAAAGGUUGAUGAUGCGAGAAGGAACGGGGAUUUGAUUGACAAAAGAGUUGAGAGUUGGCUGAUUGGUGUCGACAAGAUCAUUGCUGAGGCGGACACGUUAACUGGAGAAGAAGAAAAUGCAUAUAAGAGAUGUUUCAAGGGGCUCUGUCCUAAUCUUAAGAAACGCUAUCAACUUAGCCAGAAAGCGGCCACAAAGGAGAAGAGCAUCGCGGAGCUCAGGGAAGAAGCUGAGAAAUUUGCUCAAAUUUCCUGCCCUACUGUUCCAGAAGAGCCUUGGCUGAGGUCUGGCAAAGGUUAUGAGGCCUUUGAAUCAAGAAUAUCGACUUUACAGAAUGUGCAAAAAGCAUUACUUGAUCCUGAUAUCAGCAUCAUUGGGGUGUAUGGGAUGGGGGGCGUUGGGAAGACGACCCUCGUGAAGGAAGCGGCUAGGCGAGCCAAAAAAGACAAGCUAUUUGACAAGGUAGUUUUUGCAGAAGUAUCUGAGACUCCAGAUAUCAGAAAGGUUCAAGAGGAACUUGCGGAUCAGCUAGGUAUGAAAUUUGAUGAGGAGAGUGAUGUACCCGGAAGAGCUAGGAGGCUAUAUGCAAGGUUGCAGAACGAGAACAAGAUCCUCGCAAUUUUAGACAACAUUUGGGAAGAACUUGAUCUGGAAAAAGUAGGAGUUCCUUCUGGAAAUGAUUGUAGGGGGUGUAAAGUCUUGCUGACAGCAAGAGAUCGUCAUGUGUUGGAGAGUAUUGGGUCCAAGACUUUAGGGAUUGAUGUUUUGAGUGACGAAGAAGCGUGGACUCUAUUCAAGAAGAUGGUGGGAGACUGUGCUGAAAAUGGCGAAUUAAAAUCUAUAGCAACUGAUGUGGCUAAAGAAUGUGGAGGUUUGCCCAUUGCCAUCGUUACACUGGCAAAAUCAUUAAGAAACAAGAGUAGUGUCUCUACAUGGAAAGAUGCCUUAAGGCAAUUGAGAAGUCCUUCCCCUUGGAACUUUAAAGGAGUGCUAGCGAAGCCAUAUUCAGCUAUAGAAUUGAGUUACAACUAUUUAAGAGAGGAGGAGCUCCAGCAACUAUUUUUGCAGUGUAGUCUGAUGGGAUCCCCACAGGCUUCCAUGCAAGACUUGUUGAAAUAUGCAAUAGGUUUGGGUAUAUUGAAAGGCGUCAGUACAGUGGAAGAAGCACGAGAUAAAGUAAAUACGUUGGUCGAUCAACUCAAAGAUGCUAGUUUGUUGCUUGACGGCACUAACAGCUAUUGGUUUUCCAUGCAUGACGUUGUUCGUGAUGUUGCCAUAUCAAUUGCAUCUAGAGACUAUCAUGUAUUUACAAUGAGAAACGAAGGUGAUCCGAGGCAGUGGCCAGAUAAGAAGUGCUCAAGAAUAUCAUUAUAUGACAAUACUAUUAGUGAAAUUCCUCAAGGGUGGGAAUGCCCUCAGCUUGAGUUUUUCUACAUUUUUGCCCCCAAUAAUUCUCCUCUCAAAAUCCCCGACAACAUUUUCAUCGGGAUGCCGAAGCUCAAAGUUUUAGAUUUUACUAGAAUGAGGUUACUGUCACUACCGUCGUCGAUUCAUCUCCUAACAGACCUUCGAACAUUGUGUCUGGAUGGUUGCCAAUUGGAAGACAUUAGAGUUAUUGGAGAGCUGAGAAAGCUAGAAAUUCUUAGCUUGCAGGCUUCUGUAAUUGAGCAAUUGCCUAUGGAGAUAGGCCAAUUGACUCAGCUAAAGUUGUUAGAUUUGAGCUAUUGUUCCAAAUUAAAAGUGAUUGCACCAAAUGUUCUAUCAAACUUAUCUCAACUGGAAGAAUUGUAUAUGGCUCGUUGCUAUAUCAAAUGGGAGCAUCUAGGACUCAGCAUUGAGAGAAGUAAUGCCAGCCUCGUUGAAUUGAAGAAUUUAUCUCGUUUGACUACUUUAGAGAUAAAUAUUCUUGAUGCAGGGAUUCUACCGAGUGGCUUCUUCUCAAGAAAGCUGGAGAGGUAUAGAAUUGUCGUGGGGAGUGAGUGGGACCGGUUUGAUAAAUAUAAGACUCGGAGAACUUUGAAACUCAAGCUCAACUCUCGCACUUGCUUGGAGGAGUGGCGGGGCAUGAAGAACGUGGAAUACUUAUGUUUAGAGGAAUUGCCGGGUUUGACGAAUGUUCUUCAUGAUUUGGAUGGGGAGGGUUUUGCAGAGCUGAAACAUCUCAAUAUCCGAAAUAAUCCCAAUUUUUUACGUAUAGUUGAUCCGCUACAGGUACGUUGCGGUGCCUUCCGAAUGUUAGAGUCUCUGGUUCUUAAGAAUUUGAUUAAUUUGGAGACAAUAUGUCAUGGUCACCUCCAAGCAGAAUCUUUCUGCAAUUUGAAAACCAUAAAAGUGGAAAGUUGUCAUAAAUUGAAAAAUUUGUUCUCAUUCUCCACUGCCAAAUUCCUUCCCCAACUUGGAACAAUUGAAGUGACUGGGUGCAAUAAUGUAGAAGAGAUUUUUGUUUCUAGCAAUGAAGAGGCAAUCGGUGAGAUUGCAUUGGAGCAAGUACGGUUCUUGAUUCUUAGAACUCUUCCAUUGUUCACAAGCUUCUCCGCCUUUGUCAAGACAACUUCUACUGUGGAAGCAAAGCACAAUGAAAUCAUUUUGGAGAACGAGAACCAUAUUUACACUCAUCCGUCACUUUUCAAUGAAAAGGUAAGUGAACAAACCUUAUUAUCUUAUUUUAUUAGUACUACUGCUAUCACAAGAACUCAUAUUGAAACAACUGUGUGUGCAGCUUGUGCUUCCUAACUUGGAGGUCUUGGAAGUCCGGGAUAUUAAUGUUGCAAAGAUAUGGCACAACCAAAUUUCAGCAGUGAUGUCUUGUAACGUUCAAAAUUUAACAAGCUUGGUCGUGGAGGACUGCUGCAAAUUAAGAUACGUGUUUUCAUAUUCUACAGCUAAAAGACUUGGGCAGCUUCAACACCUAGUGAUAUCCAGGUGCCCACUUCUGGAGGAAAUUGUUGGCAAGGAAGGUGGAGUGGAAGCGAAUCCUUCUUUUGUCUUUCCACGGUUAACAAUCCUGAAACUCAGCUCACUACCAGAGUUUAGAGCUUUCUAUCCUGGAAUACACACUUUGGAAUGUCCCAUUUUAACUAGGUUGGAAGUGUCUCUUUGUGACAAACUAGAAAGUUUCUCUUCAGAAUCGUAUAGCCUCCACGAAAAUAAUGAGGGCCAACUUAUUGAAGUGCCAGUGCCAGCGCCAGCGCAACAGCCCCUGUUCUUGGUUGAAAAGGUACGAGUCUUUUUUCUAUAAUAUAUGCUUUGUUUAUUUCAACAUUUAUUUUAUUUUAGUGAUAAUAAUCAUAAUUAUAUUCUUCUUUGGAAUUUUUUGAAUGAACAUCAACUCCAACUUGUUUAUGUUUGAUUGGUCAUCAGGUCUUACCCAAUUUGGAGGAAUUGAGAUUAAGCAAGAACAAGGAUAUCGCAAAGAUAUGGCAGGGUCCGUUUCCAGACCAUCUUUUAAACAAACUCGAAGUUCUGGCGAUUGAGAAUGAUGAAUCGGAAGUUUUAUCACCUGACUUACUCGAGAGAUUUCACAAUCUGGUCAGUCUCCAACUAGAACGUAGUUCUUACAAAGAGUUAUUCUCAAAUGAAGGGCAGGUUGAGAAACAUGUCGGAAAGCUCGCUCAGAUAAAACAUUUAAAGCUGAGGCGACUAAAUGAUCUAAAGCACCUGUGGCUGUGGGAACAAAACUCCAAAUUGAACACGGUUUUUCAAAAUCUUGAAACUCUAUCUGUACACUUUUGUCUUAAUCUGACAAAUCUAAUGCCUUCCUCUGCCUCUUUUCGGUGUCUGAGAGAACUGAGGGUAUGCGCUUGCGAGCAUCUGAUAAACUUGGUAGCAUCAUCGGCAGCAAAAAAUCUAGUGCAACUCGUACAUGUGUCGGUAAGUGAAUGCAGUAAAAUUACCGAGUUGGUGGUAGCAAGUGAGGGAGAUGCAGCAAAAGACGAGAUUAUCUUCCCCAAACUGGAGUACUUGAAUCUUCAUCGUCUACAAAGUCUCACAACCUUCUGCUCUGCAAACUACACUUUUAAAUUCCUGUCUUUAUGGCGGUUAUCAGUGUCUGCUUGCCCCAAGAUGAAGAUUUUCUGCGGAGGAGUCUUUAGCGCACCAAGAUUAAAAGAAGUGUGGCUAAAUGGUCAAAAUUGUUGGGACCGUGACCUCAAUACAACCAUACAACUGUCGUAUUACAAAACGGUGCGUAUUCAUCAACCAAACCAUUUUUUUGUUUUUUUCACUGGAGGAUUGUUUGUUUUGACACCAUUUUUUUGUUUUUUUCACUUGAUUUAAAUUUUAUAAUUCAAUUUAAAUCUUUUUUUAUCAAAAUUGAAAUUACAUAUAUAAUUGCAUAUUGUUAUAAUUAGAUAAUAUAAUAACAAAUAGUACAAAAAAAUUUUAUAUAUCGUAAAAAAAAUUUCAAAAAAAGUAACAUUGUGCAAUUAAAUAGUUAAAAGACACUACUAAUUUUAAUUAAUUAUUAAUCCGAUUUUCUUGUUUUAACAGUAUAAAUAUUAUAUUUCAUUUGUUUGCACGUUAAAUUACAAUACAAUUUUGAAUUUACCAAUACAAUUUUUUUAUUAUUGCAAUAAAGAUAAAAUAGUUUGAAUUAAUAUCUAAACAUUUAGUACAAUCCUAUAUAAUAUUAUAAUGUGAGUAGGCUUCUCAAAUCUUACCUAGCAAACUAGAAAGCCACUGCUAUAGAACCUCUAAAAAUGUAGAUGCAUAUGAUGAAUGAGUUCAUAAGAUUUUUUAAACUAGUACCUCUAUACACUUCGGCUAUGUUUGACAGGCAAGAUUACAUUGGACUAAGUAUUAGGAUUAGACUAAAUUAAAUUGAAUUAUAUCUAACUUAUGUAUAGUACACUAUCGAAUUUGAUUAUAUUAGAUUAAAUUUAAAUGGUAUUUAAGUUAAUAUUUGAAUUUAAAUAUCAACUUUAUAUAGAUAUUUAAUAAGAAAUAUUAUAAUUAAUAAAAAAAUAAUAUUAUAUUUAUAUAUAUUAUUCAAUUAGUUAUGUGAUAGUCACAAUUAGAAUGAAGAAAUAUAAAUUAUUUAAAUUAUAGGUUGUUUCAUAUGAGAUAUAUCAUUUCAUUAAAUAAAAUUAUUCAAAUAAUAAAUUAAUUAAUAGUUUUUAAGUAAAUCAUGAAUAACGAAAAAUAAAUUACUUAAUUAAUAACAAUAAAUAAAUAAAUAAAUUUUAAGUUAUAAAUAAAAAUAAUGUAAUGAAUUAUAGAAGAUAUCAUAAAUAUAAUUUUUUUUUUCUCAUUGCCUAAUCCUAUUUAAACCCACAUGAAAAUUGAGAUUACUAAUCCCAUGAAUUUAGGAUAAAAAUUUGAAUUUAAUCCAUUAGUCCAAUGCAAGUGAGCAUGACAAACAUAGGAUUAAUAGUUUAUCCCAAAAAUUAAUCCAAUCCUAUACUUAGGUGGCGUUUGUUUUUUGGUCUGAAAUAUGAAUAGAGUUGAAUAUCUGAAUCUGAAUCAUACAUUUGUUUUUCUAUCUGAAUAGCUAAAAAUAAAUAUUAAGUUCUUUUUUCUAACUUAAAAAAAUCUGAAAACUAUUGUUUUUACAUUUAUGUCCUUACAAAUUAUAAAUGUUAAACAAAUAAUAAACAUCUCAAGAAAUAUAAAUAAGAUAAUAAAUUAUUAUAACAUAAAUCAUAUUUAAUUUGAUACAACUCUUUAAUAUUCUAUAUUAUUUAUGUUAAUCAAUUUUAUUAUAGUUUAUGAUGUUUUUAAUGAAAAAUAUUCAUAAAAAUUUAUGAAGAUAAAUAAUGCUAAUUUUUUAAGAAAAUAAAUAGAUAACAAUAAUAAUAGUCUACAACUAUUAUUAUCACAAGUUAUAUAGAGAGGGUAAUAAUGCUAAUUAUUAAAUUUUAUUUAAGUAAGGAUAAAAAUUAAUUAAUUAAAUAAGGAUAUUUUGGAGAAUAUCUUUAAAUGAUAUCAUUCAGACUUUUUAAAUUAAGUAAAAAGCUAAAAAAAUUAGCUUAAUGAUUUAAUGGCUGAAAUUUUUUAUUAAGUUGAAAAACAACAAACUUGACAACUUAACUGAUUAAAAUUAAGUCAAUUAAGUCAUUAAGUAAAAAAAAAAACAACCUCUUAAUCCCAACUCCCAAACAUAACCUUCAGGAGUAACUAGGAUAAUCAAAUUGGCUGCCCUAAGACCCUCAUUUGGAUUCAACUGACUACAAAGAUUCAACAUAAUUUGGCAAAUAAAAUAAUCAACUCACUUGUCGCAGAAGCUAGUUUAAGCAAUUUAUAUCAGAAGUGAACUAAUUGACAUGUCUUUAGGGAACAUCCUUUCACCUUAAAUUAAAAAUGUUGCUUUUUUUUUUUUUUAAAUUUCAGAAUGCUCAGAGUUCCACAGAUGAUUCAGGUCAAUCUUCAAUGUACCAUCAGGAAUAAUACCUUUUCUCUGAUGUUUAUUAGUCACGAGUUUUUUCAUUGAUGAUCAUUUCCUUGUAUUGGAAUCAGGUGCAAACAAGCCCUUCUGUUUCUAUCUUCACUGUUCUGCUUUGGCUCUCUUCAACUUUUGUGUUGCUCUUUUGAAAGUGCUAUUAUAAAACUUACAUUCCAUGUAAUCGAUUGAGAUUCAAUGGUUGAAUGGUCCUCAAUAGUUUCCUGGUUGCUGUAUUCUGUGAGAUUCUCAGGCACCCAAAAGACAAAUUAAGUACCAAAAUUAAGGAUAUAUAGUUGAACUUUGCCUUUGCGUGCAACUUGAAUAUAUUGUGUUCUAUGAGUAGGAACCCACGUAAAUGGUUCCUCGUUAACAUGGAUUGCCGUUGCUUGUGGUUCAAGCAACCUUGUUUACUAGUUGAUUCCUUGUCUUCUUAAUCAGAAAUCAUGGGAUACACUGGUUGUAAUUCUAGUCAUGCAGUAAAAUAUAAGUAUUGGCAAAUCGCAUUGAGCAGGAGAUUCAGAGCCAUAAAGCUUUGGAUUGUUAUUCGCAGAUAUGGCUUGGCUAACCUUAUGGAUCACAUUUGUAGCAAGUGUCAAAGAGUUCAUGUAUAGUGUCAAAGACUUCUUACCAUGACGAAGGCCGUUAUGUUUUCCCUUGUCAACCAUAUUUUUUCUGAGCGUUCAUCUUCUGAAACUGUUAGUAGAAUGUCAAGUAAAUCAUUUGGUGCAUCAAACCUUAACACCGUUAAAAAUUUGUUGAAGUCUCAAGAGUAUUUGAGCAAUUCCAAGCUAAAGUUAUUUUCUUGAUUCUUUUACACAUUUUUAUCUUUUUCUCUGAACAUCUGAUUUACAAGCUUUUUUUUUUUCCUUUAUUUCAGUUAUUAUAUUAAAUUGGUAACAGUUGAAAUAGUAGCUGGAAAAAUAUGGUUGUCAAAAAACUUUGGUGAUCUAACAUUUAGUCCAUUUACUUAUUUGGUUUUAAUUUAUUUAAUGUUAAAAUUACAUACAUACAAUGCACAAGACAUUAGUAGGAAUCCGGUCCAAUCUUAGUACCACAACAGAACGUGUCCUUAAGUCUCAUUAGAAAAGUUAGUCUGAGAAAUUUAGAGCAGAAAUGAACUAAGUAACACAUCUUUAGAGUUUGUACAUUCACCAUUAAUAUGAUGCUCUUCAUGAUUACAGAAUGUUCAAACUUUCGAAGAAGAUUCAGGUCAACCUUCAAUUCAGAAUCCGGAAUAAGGUCAUUUCUCUAUGACAGUUUAUGAGUUUAUCAUUGAAGAAUCUUCACUUUCUGUGUUGCUCUUUUGGAAGUGUCAUUACAUUUCCUUCAUGUAAUAGUUUGAGAUUCAAUGGUCGAAAGACCAUUAAUUAGCAUUAAUAAUUUUCUGGUUGCAGCAAUACGCUGUAUCCUGUGGCAAUCAGCAUGUGUGUGCAAUUUGUAUUUUCUUGUGAUUGAAUUUCUGGAGUUCUAUUCUUUUAGAAUUGAUAAAUUCAAAGGGUAUGUUGGUCUAGUGGUCUUGAUGCUGUUGUUAGAUAUACCAGUGGGGACAUUAUGCUUGCAGCAGUAAAGACCUAUAAAUUUUUGGGAUAACGAAUUCUCAGAGGCAGAGGCUCUUAGUUUUGGAUUUUGGAAUUUAAGUAAGCUCGAAUCUGAUGCUAAAACUUUUGUGAACGGAAAUGAUCCUAAGUCAGAAGGAAAAUCUUCAGAAGGAAUUGUUAGGAGUAAUCAUUAUCUUGCUUUCAAAUUUAUCUCGAGGAGCUAUAAUGAAACAACUCAUAGGCAUGAACUUUACAAUGAACAUUGUAAAGCAUCCUCCAUAUAUGGAAAUGGAAAGGAACCCAUCUUUAUAUAUAUGUGUCAUACUUCUACGUAUCAUAGAUUUUUAUCUUAAUUCAAAUCUGAAUUUUGUCAAAUUCAGACGUAUGGACGUAUAUAUAUUCAAAGUAACCCAUCUGUAUUUUUCUAUGUGUAUUCAAAGUCGUUUGCGUAUAUAUAAUUCGAGAGUAGAAUUGAAGAUUUAUAUUAAAACGCAUAGAUACAUUUUAACUAACAGUUACAUAGAUAUACAUUUUAAUUAACACUUUAAUGGAUCAAGGCAUGACCACCUUCUGAAAAGUGAAUGAGUUAAUUUCUACGCAAAUUUUACCUCUAAGCCAUUUGUGAACCAUUAUGUUUUCCACUGAGUUAUCAAAAAAUCAUCGUUUUGCUAAUCAAAUGUUUUCUCUUAUCCUUCAAAAACAAAAAAAACAAAAAGAAACACAAAACUAAAAGCAGCAGCCUGAUUUGGCUCUUUCACUAAAAUGUUGAAUUCCCAAGACAAUGUUGAAGUUAACAGCACCUGCCAGACUCUACUUAACAAACACAAAAGCAACAAAACUAAAACCAGAACAUUUUUCUUUUGUUUCCCCACAAACUCGUCCUCAAUUCACAACACAACAACAACACAAUCAGCAACACUUGCAACAACAAAAACAAAAACACUUGAUGCAUAUCCUACAAAACAGCCAAACACCAAACAACAUUACCACUCAAAUCCACUCUCACUUACUCACCACUAACUCACUGCUACACCACUCACAACUCUUCAACACUCUUCUUCACUUCUACUCGCUCGCUGAGUCACCUCAAAAAGCUUUCUUGCUCUACAAACAACUUCAACAAAUUUACACACACUCUCACUCUCCAUUGCCGCCUCUCUUUGACAGCUUCACUUACUCUUUCCUUAUAAGAACCUGCGCUACUUUAAGCCAUCC